This 738-nucleotide ribosomal RNA is filed under the name Roseobacter sp. PRLIST06. RNAcentral's name for it is "bacterial SSU rRNA". It matches the Rfam family "Bacterial small subunit ribosomal RNA", at positions 8 to 790 of the family's 1533-position model. The record is from RNAcentral. Lineage: Bacteria; Pseudomonadati; Pseudomonadota; Alphaproteobacteria; Rhodobacterales; Roseobacteraceae.
GGAGAGUUUGAUCAUGGCUCAGAACGAACGCUGGCGGCAGGCCUAACACAUGCAAGUCGAGCGCACCCUUCGGGGCGAGCGGCGGACGGGUUAGUAACGCGUGGGAAUGUACCCUUCUCUAUGGAAUAGCCUCGGGAAACUGAGAGUAAUACCAUAUACGCCCUUCGGGGGAAAGAUUUAUCGGAGAAGGAUCAGCCCGCGUAAGAUUAGAUAGUUGGUGGGGUAAUGGCCUACCAAGUCUACGAUCUUUAGCUGGUUUUAGAGGAUGAUCAGCAACACUGGGACUGAGACACGGCCCAGACUCCUACGGGAGGCAGCAGUGGGGAAUCUUAGACAAUGGGCGCAAGCCUGAUCUAGCCAUGCCGCGUGUGUGAUGAAGGCCUUAGGGUCGUAAAGCACUUUCGCCAGGGAUGAUAAUGACAGUACCUGGUAAAGAAACCCCGGCUAACUCCGUGCCAGCAGCCGCGGUAAUACGGAGGGGGUUAGCGUUGUUCGGAAUUACUGGGCGUAAAGCGCACGUAGGCGGAUCAGAAAGUUGGGGGUGAAAUCCCAGGGCUCAACCCUGGAACUGCCUCCAAAACUCCUGGUCUUGAGUUCGAGAGAGGUGAGUGGAAUUCCGAGUGUAGAGGUGAAAUUCGUAGAUAUUCGGAGGAACACCAGUGGCGAAGGCGGCUCACUGGCUCGAUACUGACGCUGAGGUGCGAAAGUGUGGGGAGCAAACAGGAUUAGAUACCCUGG